Non-coding RNA from Phalacrocorax carbo (great cormorant), 979 nucleotides. NCBI's taxonomy places the organism in Eukaryota, Metazoa, Chordata, Aves, Suliformes, Phalacrocoracidae. The record is from RefSeq and is a predicted model, not a curated record.
AUGUAGCUCCCAAGAAAUCUAGUACAGUUCAGCUGACCUCAGCAGACCUGCCCAAGAGAGCAGAAUUCGGCUGUUUGUAUCUGCUGUGUGAUGCUCUGGAAUCCCCCAGAUGAAAGGUGCUAUGGAGAUGUGUUGCAGAGAAGAUCCAGAAGACAAAAGCAAAGGGUGCAGCAGAGUACUGCUGUGGUGCAGGCACAGCACCCAGCUCGCAGCUUGGCAAGGACUCAGCUGGAGGUGGCUCAGUCCAUCCAGGCUCAGAUGAAGAUGUCAGGCCAUCCCCCUGCAGUACCUGCUGUAGGCAAACCCAGGCCUUUGCCCUCUUAGAAACUACACUGGACCUACAGAAACUAUUGCAGGUAACAAAGUGACCGGCUGGACCAGACCCAGUGGGCCGCAGUGGCUUGGUCUGUGCCAGGGUUUCCCGAUGUUACUGCUCUGUUCCGAUGAAACAUAAUACAGAAAGAUACAGGCAAAGCAUUAUGCUCACAGCCUUUGCCAACAAGUUAUGUUUUAAUGUAAUUUAACUGUAAUCUCAGAGUGUUUUUGUUAGCUAUAAUUAGUAAAAUAUGUCUGUUUUCUGUGUUCCUUGAAGACGUCUGAACUCCUGCCAGUUCCCUAUAGUUUUCCUGACAUGCAGUGUAACAAGCAGACCACCAAAAUGUAUUUACCAAUAACUGUUUAUUUACAUUCCAUGAAAUCUAAUAACAUUUGCUGCCUUCCUUCGGGAUAAACGCUGGCCAAAGUGUAAAGCAUAAAAAAAUAAACACUGCCUUAAUUUCUAACCCAGUCCACAGAAUAUUUUAUUUUUGCUCAAUUUGCCUUGCCUGUUAGCAUUUUGGCGUUCUGCUGCUUGGAAGUUGAAAAAAAAAAAAAGUUGAAAAAGUUCUGUAAUGUAUCUUCCUGUUCAGUCCAAAACCUUGCAGGGAUUUCCUGGACAUUAUUUCUAAAGUCUGCAGGAGGCUGGUAUUUCAUUUCUUUG